UUGUCGUAGCUUGCUAUGAUAAAAUUAGCGGCAGACGGGUGAGUAAUGCAUAGGAAUCAUCCUAGAUAUAUGGGAUAGCCACUAGAAAUGGUGGGUAAUACUGUAUAAUCCCUGCGGGGGAAAGAUUUCUCGCUAUUAGAUGAGCCUAUGUUAGAUUAGCUAGUUGGUAGGGUAAAGGCCUACCAGGGCAGUGAUCUAUAGCUGGUCUGAGAGGAUGAUCAGCCACCCUGGAACUGAGAUACGGGCCAGACUCCUACAGGAGGCAGCAGUGGGGAAUAUUGGACAAUGGGCGCAAGCCUGAUCCAGCUAUGCCGCGUGAGUGAGGAAGGCCUUAGGGUUGUAAAACUCUUUCAGUGGGGAAGAUAAUGACGGUACCCACAGAAGAAGUCCCGGCAAACUCC
This 401-nucleotide ribosomal RNA is filed under the name Anaplasma platys. RNAcentral describes it as "bacterial SSU rRNA". It matches the Rfam family "Bacterial small subunit ribosomal RNA", at positions 70 to 504 of the family's 1533-position model. The record is from RNAcentral. Lineage: Bacteria; Pseudomonadati; Pseudomonadota; Alphaproteobacteria; Rickettsiales; Anaplasmataceae.